GAUGAACGCUGGCGGCGUGCUUAACACAUGCAAGUCGAACGAAGCAUUUGCGACAGAUUUUUUCGGAAUGAGGUUGCUUAUGACUGAGUGGCGGACGGGUGAGUAACGCGUGGGUAACCUGCCUUGUACUGGGGGAUAGCAGCUGGAAACGGCUGGUAAUACCGCAUAAGCGCACAAUGUUGCAUGACAUGGUGUGAAAAACUCCGGUGGUAUAAGAUGGACCCGCGUCUGAUUAGCUAGUUGGUGAGAUAACAGCCCACCAAGGCGACGAUCAGUAGCCGACCUGAGAGGGUGACCGGCCACAUUGGGACUGAGACACGGCCCAGACUCCUACGGGAGGCAGCAGUGGGGAAUAUUGCACAAUGGAGGAAACUCUGAUGCAGCGACGCCGCGUGAGUGAAGAAGUAAUUCGUUAUGUAAAGCUCUAUCAGCAGGGAAGAUAGUGACGGUACCUGACGAAGAAGCUCCGGCUAAAUACGUG
This 481-nucleotide ribosomal RNA is filed under the name uncultured bacterium. RNAcentral's name for it is "partial 16S ribosomal RNA". It matches the Rfam family "Bacterial small subunit ribosomal RNA", at positions 28 to 507 of the family's 1533-position model. The record is from RNAcentral.